CAUUAAAUAACCUAAUUUUUAAGGUUUAGGAUUUUUAAUCCUAUAAUGUAUCAAUUUUACUUUAAUGA
Molecule: transfer RNA, 68 nt
Filed under: Rhynchothorax sp. JZ-2022
Lineage: Eukaryota; Metazoa; Arthropoda; Pycnogonida; Pantopoda; Tanystylidae
Description: tRNA-Lys
Rfam family: tRNA
About the family: Transfer RNA (tRNA) molecules are approximately 80 nucleotides in length.
Source: RNAcentral